RNAcentral lists this ribosomal RNA (492 nucleotides) under uncultured bacterium. RNAcentral's name for it is "partial 16S ribosomal RNA". It matches the Rfam family "Bacterial small subunit ribosomal RNA", at positions 29 to 507 of the family's 1533-position model. The record is from RNAcentral.
AGUGAACGCUGGCGGUAGGCCUAACACAUGCAAGUCGAACGGCAGCACAGUAAGAGCUUGCUCUUACGGGUGGCGAGUGGCGGACGGGUGAGGAAUACAUCGGAAUCUACUUUUUCGUGGGGGAUAACGUAGGGAAACUUACGCUAAUACCGCAUACGACCUACGGGUGAAAGCAGGGGAUCUUCGGACCUUGCGCGAUUGAAUGAGCCGAUGUCGGAUUAGCUAGUUGGCGGGGUAAAGGCCCACCAAGGCGACGAUCCGUAGCUGGUCUGAGAGGAUGAUCAGCCAAACUGGAACUGAGACACGGUCCAGACUGCUACGGGAGGCAGCAGUGGGGAAUAUUGGACAAUGGGCGCAAGCCUGAUCCAGCCAUACCGCGUGGGUGAAGAAGGCCUUCGGGUUGUAAAGCCCUUUUGUUGGGAAAGAAAAGCAGCAGGUUAAUACCCCGCUGUUCUGACGGUACCCAAAGAAUAAGCACCGGCUAACUUCGUG